This 119-nucleotide ribosomal RNA is filed under the name Lepisosteus oculatus (spotted gar). The record is from RNAcentral. Lineage: Eukaryota; Metazoa; Chordata; Actinopteri; Semionotiformes; Lepisosteidae.
ACUAGCAACCAUAUCACCCUGCAACUCACUACUGGCAACCCACUGAAGCUAAGCAGGUGUGAGCCUGGUCAGUACCUGGAUGGGAGACCUCCUGGAAAAUACUAAGGUUGCUGCUGGAA